AGUGAACGCUGGCGGUAGGCCUAACACAUGCAAGUCGAACGGCAGCACAGUAAGAGCUUGCUCUUACGGGUGGCGAGUGGCGGACGGGUGAGGAAUACAUCGGAAUCUACUUUUUCGUGGGGGAUAGCGUAGGGAAACUUACGCUAAUACCGCAUACGACCUACGGGUGAAAGCAGGGGAUCUUCGGACCUUGCGCGAUUGAAUGAGCCGAUGUCGGAUUAGCUGGUUGGCGGGGUAAAGGCCCACCAAGGCGACGAUCCGUAGCUGGUCUGAGAGGAUGAUCAGCCACACUGGAACUGAGACACGGUCCAGACUCCUACGGGAGGCAGCAGUGGGGAAUAUUGGACAAUGGGCGCAAGCCUGAUCCAGCCAUACCGCGUGGGUGAAGAAGGCCUUCGGGUUGUAAAGCCCUUUUGUUGGGAAAGAAAAGCAGCAGGUUAAUACCCCGCUGUUCUGACGGUACCCAAAGAAUAAGCACCGGCUAACUUCGUG
RNAcentral lists this ribosomal RNA (492 nucleotides) under uncultured bacterium. Its description in RNAcentral is "partial 16S ribosomal RNA". It matches the Rfam family "Bacterial small subunit ribosomal RNA", at positions 29 to 507 of the family's 1533-position model. The record is from RNAcentral.